Oncorhynchus tshawytscha (Chinook salmon) is the source of this 769-nucleotide long non-coding RNA. The record is from Ensembl. NCBI's taxonomy places the organism in Eukaryota, Metazoa, Chordata, Actinopteri, Salmoniformes, Salmonidae.
AACAACUCCAUAUUAAUGACUUCCCAGAAGAGUGGAGGCUGUUAUAGCAGCAAAGGGGGGUCCAACUCCAUAUUAAUGACUUCCCAGAAGAGUGGAGGCUCAGCAAAGGGGGGACCAACUCCAUAUUAAUGACUUCCCAGAAGAGUGGAGGCUGUUAUAGCAGCAAAGGGGGUCCAACUCCAUAUUAAUGCCUUCCCAGAAGAGUGGAGGCUGUUAUAGCAGCAAAGGGGGUCCAACUCCAUAUUAAUGCCUUCCCAGAAGAGUGGAGGCUGUUAUAGCAGCAAAGGGGGUCCAACUCCAUAUUAAUGCCUUCCCAGAAGAGUGGAGGCUGUUAUAGCAGCAAAGGGGGGACCAACUCCAUAUUAAUGCCUUCCCAGAAGAGUGGAGGUUGUUAUAGCAGCAAAGGGGGGUCCAACUCCAUAUUAAUGACUUCCCUGAAGAGUGGAGGCUGUUAUAGCAGCAAAGGGGGGUCCAACUCCAUAUUAAAGCCCAUGAUCUUGGAAUGAGAUGUUGGACGUGCAGGUGUCCACAUAUUUUUGGUCAUGUAAUGUAUCAUCAAGAAGCUUCCUAAGAAGGUAAAACACUUCUCCGGGCAGGCUGAUUAUCAGGACAGGAGACUGCAAUACACACACCUGAGGAGGAACGCACCCAAAGGGCUGGCAGGCUCUGUCCAGCCCUUAGGGGGCGUUCCAGGUGGUCUGUACUGCAAUCACACUGCCCAGUUUUAGGUGGCGAUGGAGACCUCUUGACGGGUACCCACCUGGAAGCU